Molecule: long non-coding RNA, 408 nt
Filed under: Homo sapiens (human)
Lineage: Eukaryota; Metazoa; Chordata; Mammalia; Primates; Hominidae
Description: non-protein coding lnc-MBOAT2-10:1
Source: RNAcentral
UUUUGCGGGGGCAGCAUGAGCAGACUCAGGAAGAAAAUGCUGGCCUUGAGAUAGAUAGCUCUUCAGAGGAUCCAGAUUAAACUAAGUUCGAGUCACUUCUCACAGUUGACUUCCUCACCAAAUAAUAAGGGGGUGAAGAAGACUCGGCCUACCUACUACUCAGUAAUCCUGCUGUCCAGUCGACUGGAGAAGAGAGAUUUGUUCACCUCUACUAGUUUUAUUUGUUCUUAGUAGUUGUAGAAUUUAAAUUGGUUUUAAUGAAAUGUUCCUUUUAUGAAAUUUUAAAUAAAAGCCAUUUAGUGUAUAUUUAGUAUAGCAAGAAGCAUGUGAAUAAGCUCCAUAUAACCUGACAUUGCGCAUCUUACAGCAUCCUCUUGGUCAGAUGUCUAAUAAAAAGAUUGUUAUUUU